RNAcentral lists this ribosomal RNA (54 nucleotides) under uncultured eukaryote. RNAcentral describes it as "partial small subunit ribosomal RNA". The record is from RNAcentral.
CGACUGGGGUGAAGCCGUAACAAGGUAGCUGUAGGUGAACCUGCAGAAGGAUCA